This 249-nucleotide ribosomal RNA is filed under the name uncultured bacterium. RNAcentral's name for it is "partial 16S ribosomal RNA". It matches the Rfam family "Bacterial small subunit ribosomal RNA", at positions 1243 to 1500 of the family's 1533-position model. The record is from RNAcentral.
AGGGCAGCUACCCAGCAAUGGGAUGCGAAUCUCGAAAGCCUGCCUCAGUUCGGAUUGGAGGCUGAAACCCGCCUCCAUGAAGUUGGAUUCGCUAGUAAUCGCGCAUCAGCCAUGGCGCGGUGAAUACGUUCCCGGGCCUUGUACACACCGCCCGUCAAGCCAUGGGAGCCGGGGGUGCCUGAAGUUCGUGACCGCAAGGAGCGACCUAGGGCAAAACUGGUGACUGGGGCUAAGUCGUAACAAGGUAGC